AGGGUUGGUACCAUGUAGUGGUUAGGUAACAGUAGGAUACAGUGUUAGAGGGUUGGUACCAUGUAGUGGUUAGGUAACAGUAGGAUACAGUGUUAGAGGGUUGGUACCAUGUAGUGGUUAGGUAACAGUAGGAUACAGGGUUAGUGGUUAGGUAACAGUAGGAUACAGUGUUAGAGGGUUGGUACCAUGUAGUGGUUAGGUAACAGUAGGAUACAGGGUUAGAGGGUUGGUACCAUGUAGUGGUUAGGUAACAGUAUGAUACAGGGUUAGUGGUUAGGUAACUGUAGGAUACAGUGUUA
This is a non-coding RNA of Salmo salar (Atlantic salmon), 299 nucleotides long. The record is from RefSeq and is a predicted model, not a curated record. Lineage: Eukaryota; Metazoa; Chordata; Actinopteri; Salmoniformes; Salmonidae.